UGGUUUUGGCUUUGGCUUUGGCUUUGGCUUUGGCGACGAAGCUGAUGCUUCAGCAAUGGCUGGCAUUGGUGCAGGCACCGAUCCUUCAGCAUCAGUGGCUGGCUUCUGUGUCUGUGCCACAGGUGAUGCCUCAGCAAAAGUGGUUGACUUAGGCGUUUGCACCACAGGUGAUGCCUCAGCAACAUUGGAUGGCUGAGUUUGCACCACAGGCGAUGCCUCAUCAGCAACAUCGGAUGGCUGCUUUUGCACCGCCUCAGCAACAUUGGAUGGCUGCGGUAAAACCGCCG
This 287-nucleotide long non-coding RNA is filed under the name Sorghum bicolor (sorghum). Its description in RNAcentral is "long non-coding RNA (SBIC_LNC016987)". Lineage: Eukaryota; Viridiplantae; Streptophyta; Magnoliopsida; Poales; Poaceae. The record is from RNAcentral.